This 335-nucleotide unclassified non-coding RNA is filed under the name soil metagenome. RNAcentral's name for it is "partial contains 5.8S ribosomal RNA, internal transcribed spacer 2, and large subunit ribosomal RNA". The stretch from base 1 to 120 matches the Rfam family "5.8S ribosomal RNA", at positions 35 to 154 of the family's 154-position model. The record is from RNAcentral.
GAUGAAGAACGUAGCGAAAUGCGAUAAGUAAUGUGAAUUGCAGAAUUCAGUGAAUCAUCGAAUCUUUGAACGCACAUUGCGCCCAUUAGUAUUCUAGUGGGCAUGCCUGUUCGAGCGUCAUUUCAACCCUUAAGCCUAGCUUAGUAUUGGGAAUCGACUUUACUGUCGUUCCUCAAAUUCAACGGCGGAUUUAUAGCAAUCUCUGAACGUAGUAAUUUUUUUCCUCGUUUUUGAAAUACUAUAAACCUCAGCAGCUAAACCCCCAAUUUUUUUAUGGUUGACCUCGGAUCAGGUAGGAAUACCCGGUGAACUUAAGCAUAUCAAUAAGCGGAGGA